UCAAGACAAUGUGAUUUUUUUCUUUUAUUUUUCUCUUUGUUUGAUAUUUCCGAAGCGUAUUACAAACAGCUAUAAAGAAGAACAUGCAAAUAUCGGGGUGGAAAACACUUCUGGAUAGAAAAAAACGCAAGCUAAUAUUUACACGCCAUUCUUUAUAGCUGUAUAUGGUAUGUUUCGAAAACAUUAUUUUAAAGAAAAAAGGGAUCAUUUCACACCCUGAAGAAAGUUUCUAAUAUUCUUAUGACGUUGGUAAUAGUAAUGUUUCUAAAAUGGACAUAGAAAUUCAGCCAUUUGCAAGUUAAUUUCACCAACAGGCUGUUCCGUUGAACAGAUCAACUGGAACACUCGUCGUCGUAACCGACGGAGUGCCACCACUGUUUUGGAAAUCAAAGAGCUGAAAACUAUGAUGGUUUAAUAAACAACAUGCGUACAGCCUUUGAAAGAAUGGGAUGCCGUUAAAAUGCACAUCUUGCAUUCUCAUCUCGAUUUUUUUCCAACGAAUCUUAGUGCGGUUCGUGAUGAGCAUGGUGUGAGGUUCCACCAUAUUCGAGAUGGAAACGAGGUAUCAAGGACGUUUCAGCCCACACAUAAUGGGUGACUCCUUCUGGUUCCUUCAACGGGAGACCAGCACGACGCAUAAGCACAAUAGCAUGUGUCUGAAACAUUUCUGGGCUGAACAUAUCAAAAAUAAACUUAUAUGACUGAAUAUUCAAUUCAUCAGCUAUUGAUUGGAGAAUACAAUGACAGUUACAAGUGAGACCCGUGAAUAUUUCACGGAAUUAAUGGUAAACCUCCUGGAUUGUUUCUGAAAUCUUUAUCAAAUAAAACUGAAAAUGUA
Octopus bimaculoides (California two-spot octopus) is the source of this 838-nucleotide long non-coding RNA. RefSeq lists it as uncharacterized. The record is from RefSeq and is a predicted model, not a curated record. NCBI's taxonomy places the organism in Eukaryota, Metazoa, Mollusca, Cephalopoda, Octopoda, Octopodidae.